UAGAUGAAAGCCAAAUUAGAGGUACCUAGCUGUUAAUUAGGAAAAUGUAAAUUAUAUUACUCAUCUAG
RNAcentral lists this transfer RNA (68 nucleotides) under Tricula hortensis. Its description in RNAcentral is "tRNA-Asn". The record is from RNAcentral. Lineage: Eukaryota; Metazoa; Mollusca; Gastropoda; Littorinimorpha; Pomatiopsidae.